RNAcentral lists this ribosomal RNA (578 nucleotides) under uncultured bacterium. RNAcentral describes it as "bacterial SSU rRNA". It matches the Rfam family "Bacterial small subunit ribosomal RNA", at positions 338 to 916 of the family's 1533-position model. The record is from RNAcentral.
CCUACGGGAGGCAGCAGUAAGGAAUAUUGGUCAAUGGACGGAAGUCUGAACCAGCCAUGCCGCGUGCAGGAUGACGGCCCUCUGGGUUGUAAACUGCUUUUAUAGGGGACGAAAAAAGGGGAUUCUUCCUCACUUGACGGUACCCUAGGAAUAAGCACCGGCUAACUCCGUGCCAGCAGCCGCGGUAAUACGGAGGGUGCAAGCGUUAUCCGGAUUUACUGGGUUUAAAGGGUGCGUAGGUGGGUCGGUAAGUCAGCGGUGAAAUCUUCGAGCUUAACUCGGAAACUGCCAUUGAUACUAUCGAUCUUGAAUCGUCUAGAGGUAAGCGGAAUAUGUCAUGUAGCGGUGAAAUGCUUAGAUAUGACAUAGAACACCAAUUGCGAAGGCAGCUUACUAUGGAUGUAUUGACACUGAGGCACGAAAGCGUGGGGAUCAAACAGGAUUAGAUACCCUGGUAGUCCACGCCCUAAACGAUGGAUACUCGACAUUUGAGAUAUACUUUAAGUGUCUGAGCGAAAGCAUUAAGUAUCCCACCUGGGAAGUACGAUCGCAAGAUUGAAACUCAAAUGAAUUGACGG